RNAcentral lists this ribosomal RNA (301 nucleotides) under uncultured bacterium. Its description in RNAcentral is "partial 16S ribosomal RNA". It matches the Rfam family "Bacterial small subunit ribosomal RNA", at positions 509 to 807 of the family's 1533-position model. The record is from RNAcentral.
CAGUAGCCGCGGGAAUACCGAGGGUGCGAGCAUUAAUCGGAUUUACUGGGCGUAAAGCGUGCGUAGGCGGCUUCUUAAGUCGGAUGUGAAAUCCCUGAGCUUAACUUAGGAAUUGCAUUCGAUACUGGGAAGCUAGAGUAUGGGAGAGGAUGGUAGAAUUCCAGGUGUAGCGGUGAAAUGCGUAGAGAUCUGGAGGAAUACCGAUGGCGAAGGCAGCCAUCUGGCCUAAUACUGACGCUGAGGUACGAAAGCAUGGGGAGCAAACAGGAUUAGAUACCCGGGUAGUCCCUGUCUCUUAUAC